CUACGGAGGGGACUAGCGUUGUUCGGAAUUACUGGGCGUAAAGAGUUCGUAGGCGGACUGAUAAGUAAGAGGUGAAAUCCCAGGGCUCAACCCUGGAACUGCCUUUUAAACUGUCAGUCUAGAGACCGGAAGAGGUUAGGGGAAUACCUAGUGUAGAGGUGAAAUUCGUAGAUAUUAGGUGGAACACCAGUGGCGAAGGCGCCUAACUGGUCCGGUACUGACGCUGAGGAACGAAAGCGUGGGGAGCAAACAGGAUUAGAAACCCUAGUAGUCC
This 274-nucleotide ribosomal RNA is filed under the name uncultured bacterium. RNAcentral's name for it is "partial 16S ribosomal RNA". It matches the Rfam family "Bacterial small subunit ribosomal RNA", at positions 523 to 796 of the family's 1533-position model. The record is from RNAcentral.